GCGUGACUCUCCAGAUGUAGUCUGAGUCUGGUCGUUGUGAUAGCUUCUAAGUCUCUUCUUUUGAGAUACAGCAAGCAGACCAGAUACAUGCACCCAGGACUCUAAUCUCAACCUCCUUAUCACCUUGUAAGCAAAUAAGCAUUUCAAAGACACACCAGUACAUUCUUAUGCAAACCAAGGUAAGCGAGCAUAUCACAGUGAACAAAUGAUCUUCCACUUAUCUCACCCGGGACCCCCAAAACAACCCAGCGGAAUCCCCAAAAAACAGCUCCGGGACCACCAAAGAAACCCAGCGGGAUCCCCGAAAAACAGCCCUGGGAAUCCAAAAAUUCCCUUCAGGAGCCCCAAAAAUCCCCCUGGGACCCCCAAAAUUCCAUAUAGAACCCCAAAACCCCCCCGGGAUCCCCAAAAACCUCCUGAGACCCCCAAAAUUCCCUUCAGGACACCAAAACCCCCACAAGACCCCCAAAAUUCUAUUUGGGACCCCAAAAAUUUCUCCCAAAAACCUGAGAUCCCCAAAAUUCUCCCCAGGACUCCAAAACCUCCCCUGGGAUGCCCAAAAUUCCCUUUGGGACCCCAAAAACUACCCUGGGACCCCAAAAUUCUCAUCAGGGUCCCCAAAAUUCCUCCUGGGACCCCCAAAAGCCCCCUGAAACCCCCAGAAUUCUUUUCAGGAACCCAAAACCGCAUCCAGGACCCCCAAAAUUUUACUCGGGACCCCCAAAAUUCCUCCCAAAAACCCCCUGAGACCCCCAAAAUUCUCCCCAGUGCUCCAAAACUCCCACUGGGGCACCCAAAAUUCCCUUUGGGACCCCAAAAACCACCCUGAGACCCGCAAAAUUCCCAUCGGGGUCCCCAAAAUUCCUCCUAGGACCCCCAAAAGCCCCCUGAGACCCCCACAAUUCUCUUCAGGAACCCAAAAUCCCCCCCAGGACCCCCAAAAUUCUACUCGGGACCCCCCAAAUUCCUCCUAAAAACCCCCUGACACACCCAAAAUUCUCCCCAGGACUCCAAAACCCCCCCUGGGAUGCCCAAAAUUCCGUUUCGGACGCCAAAACACCCCCCAGGACCUGCAUAUUUCCCUUUAGGACCCCUGAAAUUCCUCUUGGGAUCCCCAAAAGCCCCCUGAGACCCCCAGAAUUGUUUUCAGGAACCCAAAACCGCAUCCAGGACCCCCAAAAUUUUACUCGGGACCCCCAAAAUUCCUCCCAAAAUCCCCCUGAGACCCCCAAAAUUCUCCCCAGGACACCAAAACCCCUCCUGGGAUGCCCAAAAUUCCCUUUCGGACCCUAAAAACCCCACUGGGAGGCCCAGAAUUCCCAUCAGGGUCCCCAAAAUUCCUCCUAGGACCCCCAAAAACUUUGUGAGACCCCCAGAAUUCUUUUCAGGACCCCAAAACCCCCCCAGGACCUUCAAAAUUCUAUGCGGGACCCCCAAAAUUCCUCCCAAAAACCCCCUGAGAUCCCCAAAAUUCUCCCCAGGACUCCAAAACCCCCCCUGGGAUGCCCAAAAUUCCUUUUGGGACCCCAAAAAUCCCCUUCAGACCCCCAAAAUUCCCAUCAGGGUCCUCAAAAUUCCUCCUGGGACCCCGAAAAGCCUCCUGAGACCCCCAGAAUUUCUUCAGGACCCCAAAAACCCCCCAGGACCCCCAAAAUUCUACUCGGGACCCCAAAAAUUCCUCCUAAAAACCCCCUGAGACCCGCAAAAUUCCCAUCAGGGUCCCCAAAAUUCUUCCUGGGACCCCCAAAAGCCCCCUGAGACCCCCAGAAUUCUCUUCAGGAACACAAGACCUUACCCAGGACCCCCAAAAUUCUACUCGGGACCCCCAA
Lonchura striata (white-rumped munia) is the source of this 1829-nucleotide long non-coding RNA. NCBI's taxonomy places the organism in Eukaryota, Metazoa, Chordata, Aves, Passeriformes, Estrildidae. The record is from Ensembl.